MicroRNA precursor from Sorex araneus (European shrew), 107 nucleotides. Ensembl annotates it as microRNA 221. Its record names the gene MIR221. The record is from Ensembl. Lineage: Eukaryota; Metazoa; Chordata; Mammalia; Eulipotyphla; Soricidae.
CCAAUAUCCAGGUUUGGGGCGUGAACCUGGCACACAAUGUAGAUUUCUGUAUUUAUUUAACAACAGCUACAUUGUCUGCUGGGUUUCAGGCUACUUGGAAAAUCUCC